This 422-nucleotide ribosomal RNA is filed under the name uncultured prokaryote. RNAcentral's name for it is "bacterial SSU rRNA". It matches the Rfam family "Bacterial small subunit ribosomal RNA", at positions 355 to 774 of the family's 1533-position model. The record is from RNAcentral.
UAAGGAAUAUUGGUCAAUGGGCGAGAGCCUGAACCAGCCAUGCCGCGUGCAGGAAGACGGCCUUAUGGGUUGUAAACUGCUUUUAUCGGGGAAUAAACCUUUCUACGUGUAGGAAGCUGAAGGUACCCGAAGAAUAAGCAUCGGCUAACUCCGUGCCAGCAGCCGCGGUAAUACGGAGGAUGCAAGCGUUAUCCGGAUUCAUUGGGUUUAAAGGGUGCGCAGGCGGAUUGGUAAGUCAGUGGUGAAAUUCUAGUGCUUAACAUUAGACCUGCCAUUGAUACUGUCAGUCGAGAGUAUAGUUGGAGUGUGCGGAAUUUGUCAUGUAGCGGUGAAAUGCUUAGAUAUGACACAGAACACCGAUCGCGAAGGCAGCUCACUAAACUAAAACUGACGCUCAUGCACGAAAGCGUGGGGAUCAAACA